CCUGUGCACCCAGGGCUCGCUGCUCUUCCUCAGGAGUGUUUGGAUGGGGAUGCAGGCAAGGAGGAGGACAAGGAGGAGAGGGGGAGAGGAGACUGGUGAAAUGCGCGCACGGACGCAAGCCUGCACGCACGCACGCACACUGACCCUGGAGGCUGCGUUCCCCUUUAAAAAGUCCCAUCCCACACAGAUACGCAGAGCUCAUGCAGGAUCUGCUGCGGCAGAGGGGGAACACUGCUGAGCUGUGCAGUUUGUGCUGCCAGCACUCGUGCAAAGGAGGGGGGGGGGCGUAUACUGGAGGAGGAGGAGGAGAGGGAGGAAGAGGAGAGAGAGUGCAAACAAUGUCAUUCUGUUCAGGAGGCAAUGCUGCAGUCAACUUUGCCUCGCCACGAGGACACAGCACCGGCGCCCGCCGGGCUCAAAGUUUCGCAGCCGACCAUCCGGACAGAGUCCUCCAGACCGGAGAGCAGGAGCAGCCUCCCAGUCCAGCUGUUGGUGGCCUGCAGGAACAUGCCUUGACUUGUUGCACUGGCUGAGUGCAACAAAGGGAGGAGAGCGAGAGAGAGACACCCGGAGGCAGAGAGAGAGAGAGAGAGAGCCUUGAGGUCAGCAGUGUGCUGGUUUGAGCCCUGCAACAGCAAGGACAGACUCCCGCUGAUGUCAGACCCUCCCUGGACGGCAGCUCCUGGACAGCGGAGCUCCAGCGCUCCAUCACUGAGAGGUGAGUGUUUUGGAAACUGUGUGUGACCUAUAAAAUUACACUACAGAAGCCAUAAUCUGCUUUGUCAGUAGUGUACCAGCACAACUAAAACAGCAUCAGAUGUGUACUUUAAAAUGCUCGUUUAAGACGUUCUGCUCCAAAAACCUCCAUACUGACUAUUGCUGCCAUGAUAAUACAAAAGGUCACACCGUGAUGAACUGGCAUGGACACUCAAUUACCAAUCGCAGUGACACACUGACCGCCACGCUGACGGAGCACCACUGGUGGCCUUUCAACACCACCCCAGGGAGUCGGCCGUCUUUUGGCCACGAGGGCAGCGUUCCACCACAACUAACUGCACACGCAACACCUGCGCGCUAUCGAGUCGAUCUGUGACGUUCAUGGCUAAUUGGCGUUUGUGAUCUUGGACAGAUUUGCUGUUACUGGGGCAACUGUGUUGUCUGGUAACCAGGUGUUUGCAGAAGUUAACAGUUACAGACCAGAAUAAACGCCGGUGUCGUGUUGGCCGUAACAUGAUUGGAAGCAUGACGCUAACGGUGUUGGUAGCCGAUACCAAAAGGAUGACAACAGCCAUGAUGUCACACAGUGUUUCUGCAUCUGAAGGAUUCAGGAAGGAGGUUCUGCUGUGUUUACUGCAUGUGAAGAUACGUAAAUACUCAAACAGACAGGGAGUGUGUAAUAUAAAGAGUGACACCAGUUUGCUCAAUCAGUGACACAAAAUACAGCAAAUACAUUUAAUUUACAGACUUUCUGUUUAUUUUGAAAUGGUGAUGAUGCACAUGCUGCCUCAGCGUAGUUCAGAAUAAAGGAAGACAACGGAACCAAAGAAAGUGUAAACAUCACUGUUAACACCAGCGAAAACACAGAUUCAAAAGUAAAAGAUCAGAGAGAUUAUAUAUACUGGCGCCAUUGAUCAUCCCCAACACCUCAUCCCCUUAAUAAUGAACCAAUAUUAGAUUAAUUAGCAGACUGGAGAAGGUGCAGCCAACAUUUAGCAUCGCUGAUUGGGCGUAUCAGGUGGAUUGAUGGGUAAAUGAGGUGGAAAAUUAUUCACUAACAAAUGAAACACUACAAGCAGAUGUAACAACUCAUAAUUACAUCAGGCUUUGCCGCCCAGCCGUGAGUGUAGAGAACAAAGCUGCAGGAGCUGGGGCGCAUAUUCAACCACACUCCUCUAAUGCUCGCACACUGACCCCUUUCAGAGGUUAAUGCACAGAAAAACAACAAGAUGGAAUCCGAUCGAUGCAGCCGAGGCCUGAAAACACGAGUACGACGCAGCGAUGCGUCACCGCUGCUCCGGCUGGGUGUCUGACGCAGCGGGGGCGGCCGACCGUUCCACUUCUGGUCGUUUCUCUGGAAUUCCUCAACUCCGUAUUGGGGAUGACGUCAAGCUCUGGGCAGGAAGGAAUUCCUGUCAUGUGUCUGGAGCGGGUGGCACCAGGUUGACCAGAAAAAAGCUUUCCACCUCUGGGAAACAGGUCGCGAGGCGUGGCCAUGUAUUACUCGUCAAUCACUCGUAGGGCCGACUCCUUCGCUGACAGGAGUCGUCAGACACUUGACGUUUUUGUGAAAUUACAAUGGAUGAUGGGUAAAAAAAAAAGAAAAAAAAGAGGAUCCGGCUGCCACUAAAGUGAGGAAUGCUGUUAUACAACCAAUGAUGCGUCACAAACCACAGACCCGGGGAACUACAAAUAGACCCAGAAGACAGAGCAGAGAUAAAGGAUCAUCCAUCUGUAAUUUCUCCGCUCUUCCUCUCAUAUUUCCCUCCCUUCAUUCAUCUGCUGCAGGUCGCUCUCUAGUGUCCACGCCGUCCUGCCAGCAGAGUCCCGCUGGGAGAGGACACUAAGGGACGUUCAGCCGGCCCAAAAAUAGCACUGCGGCGGACAAAUGUAAGUGAUACCGAAGGGGUUUAGGUGCACGGCCAUGUGAACAUAAAGCCACGAGCACACACGGGCACACGUAUAAAUAGAUGAAAGGUGAAUCGAACCGAGUUUCUGUUGCAAAAUCAUGAGUCAUGACAAGUCUAUUCUUAGUUCGGGGGGGUGUUUUUGUGUGCAUUAGUGAUGCUGCGGAACAGGAGACAGGACAGACACCAGUGUUUGCAGCCAUGUUUUCGAGAGAAGUUUCGCUUCGACCCCAGAGCGACGAGCCCCAAAUGCAGCUGAUUGUUGUUCAAUUAUUCCUCAGAUCUUCAGCUGCAGUUUGGACGCUGCCGGGGAAGUGCAGGCGGCGAGGGACGGCGGCUCCUGUGGGUGUUUCUCUGGCAGUGUCUUAGCUGGUUGUUGUGAGGAGUGAGAACGAAGCAAUCAGCAAGUAUACUGCCGCAGAAAUUCUUCGCAAUAAGAGCCCCCCCCCCCCCCCCCCCCCCCCCCACAGGGAGAAACGAGCGCCGCCCCCGCCCCCCUCCUCCUGGAGCCAACGCGGAUCACGCUGCCAUCGUGAAGAGAGUGGCCGUUUUCGUGUAGGUGGCCUCUACAAUAUUUACCACUGGAGCAGUUACAGACUUUAACCUGCCUGUGAGUUUUCCGAAUCGGUCCUCUACUGCCCCCUUGUGACCGACACAGCGCCACUGCGUGCAUUUAUCCCACCGAAACCACAGCAGAAUGUAAACGUUUGUAACUGUGUGUUGCAUGUUUAAUGGUUGUCUCACUUGUGGCCAUUGGCCAAAACCUGAUGCGCAAAUAAAAGUUACACAAUGAACAGUUCAUUCGGUAGCUUGUUGUGUUGUACGCAAAACGGUGCUGCCGAGCAAACACAUCACCUUUCGAUUCUUAAGGUUCAUGUGUGUUGGUUUUUCUUUUAUGAGGUUUAGUUUUCCACCUGACUUGUUGCCUUCCAUUAACACAGCGUUUUCUAUUAGAAACUGUAGCUGAAUGCCUUUUUAGUGAUAGAUGCUGCGAGAUAAGAGAGCGGCUGUAACGCGGCUGCUUAAAACAUGAUUCACAUCCCGUUUGGUGCUUCAUCGCUCUGCAGGUCAGUUGGCUUGUUUGCCUGUAGGAGGAGGUGCAGUGAAACAGACUUUUGUCUGCAGCUCCUAACAGGGUUGUGGGUCUGCUACUGUCAGGAUAUGCAGAUUACUCCUAUUAACAGCUUCCAAACUGCUUUUUUUGCUGUCUCAUGGGCUUAAAUAUGACUCAGCAAAUGGGAAACAAUUAGGGCUCAACAGAAUGAAUCUGCCCAGAAGAGGACCGGGCUUGGUUUAAAUGUGACAGGAGCACAAAUACGCUGGCGGAAAAUGGAAAAUUAACUUCUGUAGUGACGUGGAUGCCUGAAAGGACGGUCAUUCAUGAAAUGGAGUGCCGACCUUAAAACCACUGAACGCUGUGAGGUGUGUCCAGCUUGGUGAGCUGUCCUUCAGCCAGCGGUUGCUAUCGUGAUUCAUGCAUUAUUAUAAGUCCAUUCUCUUCAAUCUAAUCUAGUCCGAACCAGUGAGCGAGUCUUUACUGGAAGUGCGCAGCACGUCCAUCCAACAGGAACUCUGAGUCAGGCUGACGUGUUUAUCGUGCUGUAAAGUUAAAUACAAUCAAGCUAUGUUGUAUAACGACUGGUCCGUGCACACGUCUGUCCUUACAAACAUCACAGAUGUGCACAUGAGGUGCAUGUGAUUUAUAUAAAGCAAAAUGAAUUUAGAAAAGUUCCACCAAUACUGAACCACAGAGCUUGACUAAUUCAAAGUUAUGGUCUAUUUUUGACUCAACAAUUUCUAUUUUGAGCAGUAUUGUGCAAGGACGUGGUUCACUCAAAAAAUAAAAAAUAAAAAAAAAUCCACAAAUGAUCCACUCAACACCCUUUUGAAGUUUAUAGGUAAAGUGCUGUUGAGAACAACCUUCCACCACUGAUGUAAAGACCACAUGCUCCACCUCUAAUUCCAUUAAAUGAAGCUGGACUUUAUCGUCGUGGGGAUAUAAAAGCAAUCAUAGGCUGGAAGGCACGAAGCUUUCAGGAUAUAAAUAUGGUGCAUGUGAUGCUGUUUUGAGCAGAAACGGUUGGAGGCAUCUAAGGAAGAGUGCAAAGACCUUCUAAUCUAAUCCAUCAUAGCGGUAGCCUGCAUGUGACCAGCUCAUUAAGCACAAAUGUGAGCGCAUAAGCUCCAGGUUAUCAGGGCAAUGGUGCCUCGUUGGGCCCAAACAUGAGGUAAAUGAGGCUGGAAUUUAAAUGCCACGGGUUACAAAAACACUUUUGAGUGAACUAUCCCUGUAAGACAGACGGAACCGUGCGCGCAAUGACGGAAUGUUUCGCCGAAACUUUGUCUGAGAAGAAAAAAAAGAAGAAAUACAUACUGCAUGUCGUCAUGCGCCCUGCGAUAGAGUGACACAAGCGCAGACAGAAAUAAACGUGCACGAGCACAGAGGCAUUACCAGCUGACCGACUUCUGCUUUUCGCUGCGUCUGGCGCAACAAGGGGCGCAGAAGCGGUGAAGGAGGAGUUAAGCGCACAAGAAAAAGCGCGUUUGGCUGCCUGAGAACUAAAGCAUGGGGAUGUUUGUUAAAGUCACAUGGCUCAACUCUCCGUAAAUGCCAAACUUUCACGGAGAUGU
This 5255-nucleotide long non-coding RNA is filed under the name Takifugu rubripes (torafugu). RNAcentral describes it as "lncRNA (ENSTRUG00000027685.1)". The stretch from base 2973 to 3049 matches the Rfam family "mir-34 microRNA precursor family". The record is from RNAcentral. Lineage: Eukaryota; Metazoa; Chordata; Actinopteri; Tetraodontiformes; Tetraodontidae.